GCAUCUGUCAGCUCUUUGACAACAACGGCCAUGGAAGGCCUUUGGCUUGCCUCCUUUGCUGUGCAUCUAAGAGCUAAUGACAACAGCUUGCGCACUUCUUCCAUUUCAUGUGUUCCAUAUACUUCAGUAAUGAGAGCUGGGUCGCAAAUAGUUUCGAUCUGAUUAGUCUCAUUCAACUUGGAGGAUACCCAGCUAACUAUGUCCAUGUUGCCAGGGAAUGAGGAAUCCACAGCCAUCUUUCUGGUGAUCAACUCAAGUAAUACCACACCGUAACUGUACACAUCGAAUUCUGUGGUAGCCUUGGUUGAAAAGGCCAUUUCUGAAAGAAACCAUACAAGGGUGACAGUCAUUAUGGAGAUAUGCUAGACCAUGGGCUGUUCCAAGAGCUAUGCUGUAGCGGAUGCUCCAGUCCAAAGUUGGAGUGGGCUCAGUCCCAUGCAACACAUCAUACAGGCUACCAUUCUCCAUAAAAUCAUAUAGGAUCACAAGCUUCUUUACAGCAUAUACUUCUCCUGACCUCAGUACUGCCUUGUAGACAAUUCCAUGGGCCCCGGAACCGAUAAUGUACUUGUUAUUGAAGUUUUCAGUCACUUCUACAGCCUCAUUUAAUUUAGAAGAAGAUCCUUGAAAUAAUAUACCUAAAUCACUGUUAAUCUUAGGCUUGAAAUUAUAUUUUAGAAGGACACAGAGUAUCAGAAAUGCACCAGCAAAAACCGAACCAAGAACUAUCAUAGCAACCUUGAGUGGUGUGAGUGCACUUUUUUUACUCAUUGAACCACAAGGUCUCAAAACAUUAGAACCUGUGCAAGAUGAAUCAUUUUCAUGGCAAGAGAUACAUAGAUCUGCAUUUCCACUAAAUGAACUUGGAGUGGAAUUCAGAAACCUCACAAGAUUUUUUGGUACUGGUCCACUAAACAUGUUGUAGGAAACAUUCAAGAAAUACAAAAACUGUAGGUUUCCUAAUGAAGCAAGACCUCCGGUGAGGUUAUUAAAUGACAAAUCUAAACUCUGCAGCUCCACCAAAUUGCCUAGUGGUGGAAUGUCACCAACUAGUCCAUUUCUACUGAGGUUUAAUGCAAUGCCCAGUUUAACUAACUUUCCUAACGAUGAAGGGAUACUACCCCCAAGAAUGUUGCCACCAAGUUGCAGUUCAAUAAGCAUAUCCAACUGAGAUAAAGAAUCAGGUAUACCUCCACUGAAUUUAUUCUCCUGCAACCGUAGCUGUGACAGAAAUUUAAGGCUACUUACAGUUGUGAGUGCCGAACCGUUCAAAGAGUUGUAGCUCAAAUCAAGCUUAUAUAACUUGGAGCAUCCAGAAAUUUCCACAGGGAGUUCACCAUAUAGUCUGUUUCCUGAGAGGUUAAGACUACUUAAGUUCCCUAAGUUCCCAAUUUCUGAUGGUAUUAGACCAGCAAGCUUGUUCCAUGACCAGUUCACAAAUGUAACAUUGAUACAUUUGCUCAAGCUAGCAGGAAUGUCCCCACUUAAUAAAUUAUAGCUGAGAUCAAUAUAAUUAAGACUGCUACAAUUUACAAAUUGUGGAAUUGAUCCAAUGAGAUUAUUUUGGUUGAGAAUUACUCGUCUCAAAGUUGGGCAGUCAGCGAUACCAGAGGGGAUGCUACCAUUGAGAAGAUUUGAACCCAAGUUCAAAACUUC
This 1656-nucleotide small RNA is filed under the name Oryza sativa Japonica Group (Japanese rice). RNAcentral's name for it is "sRNA Os08g0446350". Lineage: Eukaryota; Viridiplantae; Streptophyta; Magnoliopsida; Poales; Poaceae. The record is from RNAcentral.